CGUUGUUCAACUGGCGUGCCCGCGGGACGUCCUGCCGGUGAGCUCAGCCCGCGGGGGCGGCUCAACUUGAAAUCCCAUCGCGGUGCUCUUCAUUGAGUGUCGAGGUGGGCCGGCACUAUCACUUUAAAACAAAUUAGAGUGCUUAAAGCGCGCUAAUUUUUUCCCUGAAUACUGUGUAUAUGGGAUAAUAGGAGUAAGGACCCUCGGGUUCUAUAUUGUGGGUGUUUGGAACCCCGAGGUAUUGAUUUAUAUGAACGGAUAGGGGGCGCUUGUAUAGUGACGUGUGAGAUGAAAUAUUUGGAUAGUCGCAAGACGGAGUAAAGAGAAAACAUUUGCCAAAAACGCUUUCAUUGAUCAAGAAAGAAAGUUAGAGGUUCGAAGAGGAUCAGAUACCGCCCUAGUUCUAACCAUAAACUAUACCAGCUAGCGAUCUGCCGACGUCCCUCUGAUGACUCGGCGGGCAGCUUCCGGGAAACCAAAGCUUUUGGGUUCCGGGGGAAGUAUGGUUGCAAAGCGGAAACUUAAAGGAAUAGACGGAAGGGCACCCCCCGGAGUGGAGCCCGCGGGUUAAUUUGACUCUACACGGGAAACCUCUCCAGGCCCCGACACUGGAAGGAUUGACAGAUUGAGAGAUCUUUUUUGAUUCAGUGGGUGGGGGGGCAUGGCCGUUUUUAGUCGGUGGAGAGAUUUGUCAGGUUAAUUCUGAUAACGGACGAGACUCUGACCUGAUAACUAGACGCACUUGCGGCAUCUCAAAGGUCCGCCGGCGGCGGCCUUUGCGCCGCUCGUCGCCCCGGAUUUUUACUACCGGCGUACAACAAUUAAUUCUUGAGGGACAAGUAG
RNAcentral lists this ribosomal RNA (843 nucleotides) under uncultured eukaryote. Its description in RNAcentral is "bacterial SSU rRNA". It matches the Rfam family "Eukaryotic small subunit ribosomal RNA", at positions 629 to 1426 of the family's 1831-position model. The record is from RNAcentral.